UAUCUCAUUUUUUGUAAAUUAAAAAAAAAAAAAAAACUUCUUCUCUUUUCUGAUUGUUUAUUUUUUGAUGAUUGUUGUUGUUGGUAGAGGAGGACGCGAAAAAUUCUCCCUUCGUGCAGAGGCAUGGGAAAUGAAUAACCACGACGUCUAAUAUUCUUGGUGAAUGAAGAAUUCUUUCAUGCGGGGGCAAAUCUUUUCUUGUUCUUUCUUUCCUUUUAUAUCAAUAAUCACCAGGAUGUUCAUUCUGAUUGUGUGAAUGUUUCGAAUUUUUUAAGCUGUAGCCAUGCCUUGUGUUUUUGCCCUUUUCUUUUUUUGACUGAAUCAAACUUGCACGGUUGAUGCUGUUGUCUAAAUCUUUUCUAAAUGCAUGACAGAAAAUAAUCAAAUUAUUGAGUAUUGGGAUCAUGCUCAAUUAUUAUGGAUAAAUUUCCUGGAUUUAUAUUUAUAUUUUAAUUUUGUAAAA
Long non-coding RNA from Olea europaea var. sylvestris, 463 nucleotides. RefSeq lists it as uncharacterized. The record is from RefSeq and is a predicted model, not a curated record. Lineage: Eukaryota; Viridiplantae; Streptophyta; Magnoliopsida; Lamiales; Oleaceae. The transcript has 2 exons.